This 65-nucleotide transfer RNA is filed under the name Agkistrodon piscivorus (cottonmouth). Its description in RNAcentral is "tRNA-Phe". It matches the Rfam family "tRNA". From Rfam's summary of the family: Transfer RNA (tRNA) molecules are approximately 80 nucleotides in length. Their secondary structure includes four short double-helical elements and three loops (D, anti-codon, and T loops). The record is from RNAcentral. Lineage: Eukaryota; Metazoa; Chordata; Lepidosauria; Squamata; Viperidae.
UUGUAUGUAGCUUAAGCUUAAAGCAUAGCACUGAAAAUGCUAAAAUGGUAUGACCCUCCAACAAA